UAAUAGCCCCGAUUAGAGGGGAAAUUACCUUUGUCAAAGUUUUAAACUUUGACAAAGGUAAUUGUAACGGAAAGCGGGAAAAGGG
RNAcentral lists this small RNA (85 nucleotides) under Flavobacterium saliperosum. RNAcentral's name for it is "Flavo-1 RNA". It matches the Rfam family "Flavo-1 RNA". The record is from RNAcentral. Lineage: Bacteria; Pseudomonadati; Bacteroidota; Flavobacteriia; Flavobacteriales; Flavobacteriaceae.